This 253-nucleotide ribosomal RNA is filed under the name uncultured bacterium. Its description in RNAcentral is "partial 16S ribosomal RNA". It matches the Rfam family "Bacterial small subunit ribosomal RNA", at positions 524 to 776 of the family's 1533-position model. The record is from RNAcentral.
UACAGGGGGGGCAAGCGUUGUUCGGAAUUACUGGGCGUAAAGGGUUUGUAGGUGGCUUGUUAAGUCAGACGUGAAAUCCCUCAGCUUAACUGGGGAACUGCGUCUGAUACUGGCGAGCUUGAGUGCAGGAGAGGAACGCGGAAUUCCAGGUGUAGCGGUGAAAUGCGUAGAUAUCUGGAGGAACACCGGUGGCGAAGGCGGCGUUCUGGACUGUAACUGACACUGAGAAACGAAAGCCAGGGUAGCAAACGGG